GGUCGGGACACAGUCGGCUCUGUUUAAAAAUUAAUUCUGGAGGGGGUUUUGGAGUGGGGUGAGGGGAGGCAGGGAAGCAGGGCAGAAAGCCUUCCAUUGUCCAGGAGAGAGAAGGCCUGGAAGGGAGGUGGUAGCUGUGGGGUGGAGCAGAGACGCCGGCUGUGUGAAUCACAGCUCAGACAGACGGCCCGGUUGUUUCCAAGUUCAGGGAUGGUCACCUGGGUGGCGGGGUGCAGCUGCUCAGCUCCGAUUUGCUCUGAGUCAGAACCAUGCCCUGUUCUGCCUGGUGGGGAGCGGAGCUCUGGCAGUUACCCUGUCCAGCUGCCCGGCCUCCCGGCUUCUGGACGGGCACAGCCACAGGGGAGGUGUGAGGGGCGAGGCUAAGGUAACUCGCUACCCCUGGGGUUUCACCUGCAGUGCCUGUCUCCUUUGCUAUCAGCUCCUGCUGUUGUGUGAGAUUCCAGCUCCCCCUGGGUGACCUUGCCUGUGGGGCACCAUGACACCGUGACGCUACCCCUCUGUGUCACUGCUGCCGUCAAGGUGACCAUGGCCUCCUGCCUUGCUCACACUGCCCGCCUUCCUCUGUUUUUCCUACAUCUUUGUAACCAUGUCCCCAUAUCAAAUUCCCGCCAUUGAAGUACUCAGGGUGGGUGCUGUUUUCCCAGUCAGAGCCUGGGGGUGGAGAUGAAAUGACCUCAGGAGGUGGGUGGUGCAGCAGACAAGGAGAGGAGAGGAACACAGUUCAGUUUCGGAUAUGUCUCAUGUUUCAGACGAGAUGCCGACUACGCACGUAGUGGCCUCCAUGCCAAUUGUUCACAAAGCUAGUGGAGGUAAUUCUUUAAAGCCAGAGCAGAAGACCAGAUCCUUUCCUGCUUAGCAUAUUCCGGUGCUUUCCACUGCACCUAGAAUAAAAGAGAAGCCCCUCAUCUGCGUACAUGAGCCCCAACCUGCACCUGUAACUUUCUUUUUGACAGGCAGAGUUAGACAGUGAGAGAGAGAGAAAGAUCUUCCUUCCGUUGGUUCACUCCCCAAACAGCUGCCACGGCUGGCGUGCUGCGCCGAUCUGAAGCCAGGAGCCACGUGCUUCCUCCUGGUCUCCCAUGCGGGUGCAGGGCCCAAGCACUUGGGCCAUCCCCCACUGCCCUCCCGGGCCACAGCAGAGAGCUGGACUGGAAGAGGAGCAACCGGGACUAGAACGCGGCGCCCAUAUGGGAUGCCGGCGCUGCAGGCGCAGGAUUAACCAAGUGAGCCAUGGCGCCAGGCCCCUGCACCUGUAACUCUUGUCCCCUCACUCACACUGUCCAGGCACAGGGACCCUUGCUAACGUCCCAGGGCCCUUGCAUGGCUCUUCCUUCUGCUGGGAGGCUGUCUGCUCAGCUUCCCACGUGCUGUCUUACGUGGGUCCCUGCUUCUGUGCCACCUCUGCAGACUCCUGUCCCGCGUCUCCCUGCUCUGAGCUGUGCUCUUGCUUGGGGUCCUGGCUUUCUGAGGUUACAGCCUCUGCUUCUUCCUACUUGGAGUCCUUUGCCUUGUUGCCUUUCUGGGCUUCCCUGUACCUUGUUUCAAGUCCAGCACCUGUGAAGGACGGAGUAACUCUCCGCUGAACACAUGAGUAAUUAUGUCACCUUGACAAAGUGCCACACAGCAAGGUGCUUUGUGUUUUUCAUAUUUUAUCGCUUACCUUUUUAUUUUUUGUAAUUUAACUUCAAUGAUUUCUCUGCUACACUACUCAUCUUUCCCAACAGGUGGCGCCCCUCCUCCAGGGAACAUCGCUCUCCGUUCUGCCCAGGGAAUCUAGCUGCUGGACUUGACCAGGAUGAGCCCUUCCCUGGAUGUGUUUAAUACUUGUCGCCUCUCUCCAGAGAGGUGAGCUUGGCACCUCUAGAGCUGCAGUUUCUGGAGAGGUGCGUUUGGUCGUUAUUUGCUGGAUGAACGAGAGGGCAGUGGGGCCCACAGGAAGCCUUGCGGCUCCUCGUCUCUGUCUGUUCUGCAGACUGCGGGUCACUGGACAAGGGUGUCCGGGGGGUGUGAUGGCUGUGCCAGUUUUGUGGCGCUGCUCAUGGGAGGGCGCCUCCUGCCUGCAUGGGAGGAACAGGCCUCACCACGGACACAGGCCCCUGACGCCCAGGGCAGCUAGACUCGAGCUCGGGGCACCACAGCCCUGAGGACUUCUAGAACUUCAGGGUAACUCAGAAGGCAGGCAUCCUGCUGGACGCAAUACGGGGGGAGACAGACCUCACAGAACAGGGGGCCACGUUCUCGGGAGCUGGGGCCCAGCGUCCAGAGAGGUCUGGCAGAUCCUGCGCCCCAGGCCUGACGUGGUGCUUGCCAGCAAGGAGCCUGGAAAGCUGUGGGCGCGAGCCGCACACACCCGGGCAGGCCCUGGCACAACAGCCGGGUUAGGUGCUGGUCUGUGAAGUAUGGGCUCACUGCACAGCACUCCCCGGCCCCUUCCCUUUCCCAAGGAGCCCAAGCCCCAGCCCUACAGACUGGGCUCCUGGGGCCCAAGGAGGACAGACUUUCCAGAGCGCCACUGAGUGUUGGGUUCUGACAGGUUCUCUUCUGCCCUGGGGCCUAGAACCUCUCAGUUCUCACUCCCUGGGAUCAGAGAGGCACAGCAUACGCCCCACUUGCUGCCAUGCCCUCCUCCUCCACGGAACCAUUCAGAUGCCAGAGGCUGUUUGUCUCCAGCGAUGAGCACCUGACCCACUGAGUCAUAGUUGCAAAAGCACGUUUCAGUCAAUGAAGGCCCACAAGGCCUACAAUGGUCCUGUGAGAUUACAGUGCCUGGGGACGCUUGACGCUACAGCACAGCGUGUUGCUCAGGUGUUUGUGAAGGUGCCGGUGUCAACAACCAAAGCACAGCAAGUAUGGUGACACACACACAGUCCAUCACGCCUGAUCGUGUUAAUCACCGACCACAUCAUGGACCUGUGUGUUCACUGCACUGGGUCUCAUGAUUUUUAAGCAUCCUCCUACUUCUAAAAAAAGCUUACUAUGAACCAGUUGCCGUGGUCAGCAGGACAGCCUACACGCAUCACAGUGCCUCCCCACCCCCCUUUUUAAAAAAGGUCUAUUUAUGGCCAGCGCCGCGGCUCACUAGGCUAAUCCUCCACCUAGCUGCGCCGGCACACCAGGUUCUAGUGCCAGUCGGGGCGCCGGAUUCUGUCCCGGUUGCCCCUCUUCCAGGCCAGCUCUCUGCUGUGGCCAGGGAGUACAGUGGAGGAUGGCCCAAGUGCUUGGGCCCUGCACCCCAUGGGAGACCAGGAGAAGCACCUGGCUCCUGCCAUCGGAUCAGCACGGUGCGCCAGCUGCGGCGGCCAUUGGAGGGUGAACCAACGGCAAAGGAAGACCUUUCUCUCUGUCUCUCUCUCACUGUCCACUCUGCCUGUCAAAAAAUUUAAAAAAAAAAAAGUCUAUUUAUUUGAAAGUCAGAGUUAGAGAAGGAGAGACAGAGAGAGACAGAUCUUUCAUGUGCUGGUUCACUCCCCAGGUGGGGGCCUCCGUGUGAAACCUACUGUGGCCCCAGAAUUAUAAAGGAGGUCACCACAUAUCAUCCCUCACCUUUCUGAUGUGGAUCUUGCCAUAAUUUCAGAAAUAUUUUUAGUUACACCCUUCUUAAAAAUCUCAGUUCCAUUAAAGACACUCCAGGUAUUUUUGCGGAUGCAUGGAACCCGGGUUUACAAGGAACCCAAGGAGGCCUUAAAAGUGGGUAUUUCUUUAUUUGAAAGGCAGAGUUACAGAGACAGAAAGAGUGAGACCUUCUACCUGCUAUUUCAUUCCCCCUAUGGCCACGAUGGCUGAGGCUGGGCCAGGUUGAAGCCAGGAGCUUGGAACUCCAUGCCGGUCUCCCACAUGGGCCGCCCUUGGCUGCCUUUCCAGGCGCAUUGGCAAGGAGCUGGACUGGGAGCAGAGCAGCCAGGACCGGAACUGAUGCUCCCCUAUAGGAUGCCGGCCUCCUGGGCGGCGGCUUACCUGGCUGUUGCGCCAUAAUGCCUGGCCCCCAUUUGGUCAUUUUUAAUUCACGGCAGCCACUAGCUCUCAGCUCGGAUCUGCUUAGGCUCACUUCUGGUAAGAGUGCAAUGAGAGCUGUACAAGAUACCCACUUUUCACCCGUCACCUGCUCCCUGCUUUGUGUGAGCCGAUGUCACCGAGGAGGCCUCCUGGCAAUGUCCACCCAGGCUCUUUGAGGCCAGAAUUCCAGCCCUGGGACUUCUCUGACAGACGUUCUCCCGCUCUUCCACACGUGGCCGCUGUGCAUGAUGGUAUCUGCUGUGGCCCCGUGUCUGGAAGCCGAAGCCUGGAAAUGACCCAGAUGUCCGCCUGCAGGCCCGCAAGCGCGGCUUCAGAGAAUUCAGGGGAAACGGGCAGCAUGAAAACCUAAGCGUGGGGGUCACAUGUCUUUGGCACCGAAAUAAACUUAGCCCUUAGCUGUAUUUUUGCACAAACUUUUCAAGAGCCCUGGUGUCCAGGCAGGAGACAGCGCGGAGCUGCUCUGGGAUUCCUGACACGGUGUGACCGCCGAGCGCAUCCACUGGAAACCAAGACGGAGACGCUGCGAGCGGGGCUGCCACGACCGCAGACGAGAAGGGGCCGGCCCCCAGCCCCAGGGCCCGAACACGCUCCCGGCCCCUUGCACAACCCUUCGCCUCUUCCCCCGGCCCCCUCGCGGCCUCGCCCGCCGGCCCCGCACCACCCCGCGGCCCUGCAGCCGCUGUUCCUGCCUGGGCCGCCCUCCUCCCCGCUCCCCUCCGCCGGGCCCACCUUCUCCGCCGGGAGCUCGGCCGGCCACGGCGCCGCACACAGCUCCGCACUGGGCUGUGCAGGGAGAAGCCGCACGGUUCUCUCCUGUCUCCCGCCUUUUCUCGUCAGGGCCGCUCAGGGCAGCGACUUCCGGGGUCGCCAGUGGGCGGGGCUACGUGCGCGCGUGCCCAGGCCCGGCCAUACCCCGGUUCUUCCCGUCCGCGCGGCCGCGGGCCUCGCGGGUGUGUGAGGUGGAGGCCCCGCGGGUGUGUGAGGUCUCGCAGGUGUGUGAGGCCCCGCGGGUGUGUGAGGCCCGCGAGUGUGUGAGGUCUCGCGGGUGUGUGAGGCCCGCGAGUGUGUGAGGUCUCACGGGUGUGUGAGGUGGAGGCCUCGUGGGUGUGUGAGGUGGAGGCCCCGUGGGUGUGUGAGGUCUCGUGGGUGUGUGAGGUCUCGCGGGUUUGUGAGGCCUGCGAGUGUGUGAGGCCCUGUGGGUCUGUGAGGUGGAGGCCGCACGGGUGUGUGAGGUCUCGCGGGUGUGUGAGGCCCGUGGGUGUGUGAGGCCCCGCGGGUGUGUGAGGCCCCAUGGGUGUGUGAGGUCUCGCGGGUGUGUGGGGCCCCACGGGUGUGUGAGGCCCCGCGGGUGUGUGAGGUGGAGGCCUCGGGCCCUGCGGAGCCUCCUUCUCCGCCACCCAUCCGGGUGCCCUCCCGAGGGCUCGCGGCCUUCAGUCACCGUCCCCAUCAGCCAGCCCUCAAGUGGCCACCCAGUCCCACCCACCCCUGGAACACAGAGACUUCGCGGGAGCUGAAGUUUAUGUAAUUAGAGAACGAGAAUACAAAGUUGUGAAUGUAAAAGUCAUACAAAGUGAGCGCCUGCUUAGACGAAGAACCACAGCACCCCAUCCUGACCCCACCAUGCCGUGAUCCCACCCUGCCCUGUCCCGACCCCCCCCCAUCCUGACCCCUGCCCUGUCCUGACCCCACCCCAUCUGACCCCACCCCCGCCCUGACCCCAACCUUGCCCUGCCCUUACCCUAUCCUGUCCUGACCACACCCACCCUGAACCAACCUCACACGAUGCUGUGCUGUAUUUUCCACACAGCAAGUGUGUUUAGCACACUGUCGUGAGCGUAGUAAUGGCACCGAGACUGUGCUGGUCCCAAUAAGGAUUUUAUUAAGCUGUGGGGAAGUUACACUUUAAAAAUUUUUUUUAAAGAUUUUAUUUAAAAGAGGCAGAGUUACAGACAGACGGAGAGACAGAGAGGGAGCGAGAGAGCAAGCUUCCAUGCACUGGUGCACUCCCCGGUGUAUGUAAACCACAAAGAGGCCCAGGGAGACUCUGAACAGACUCUCCUGAGAGCAGCCGGGUGGAAGCUCCAGGUUGGCCCACCACACUCAGACCCUCCCCCAAGAGAGUUCCCAGCCAGCCCUGCGCCUGCCGGGUGUCAAGGCCCUGAGCUGGCCUGAAACAGACUCGACUCGCCCUUCGAGACCUGCAUUCUUCGCUCGCGGCAACACUGGCGUGGAUGCUGUGAGAAUCCACCCUCUGUGGCUAAGACACAUCGUGAGGAGCACUGCAGCACCUGGCACGCCGUCCACACAGAGGAGCAGACACUUAGCAGAGAAGGGGUCAAGAACAGUGAGUAUCGUCUGGGCACAGGAACCGUGUUCUCGGCACAGCCAGCUAUUUCCCCAUGCAGCAUUUUACUGAUGAGUCUCCCCACAUUCUGAUACUCGGUAUCUCAGCACAGCUCGCUCGCUCUCCCCCUUCACUGCUCAGUGGAGCCUCAGGGCUCACUUGCAGAGGGGUGUGUGUGUGUGUUCAGGCGUUUCCCUGCCUUUGGUUAGCAGUCUGUGGUGUGAGAAUCACGGUAUAGGUUCAUUUUAAAUCACACAAAAUAGUUCCAGGAAAGCCCAGGUUUUCCAAAUCGUAAUUGUCGCUCCCCGUCUUCGUGGAGGAACGACACAGGAUCCUGCGCUGUUCUUUUGUCUGCUCGGCCCUCCCCGGGUUUGCUGCUGGUUCUUCCCGGGUUGGCUACUGUCCCUUCCACCUCCGUGGAAGGGCGGUUCCCCCUGCCACAUUCCCCACUUCCGCGGGGGAGCGGCACACCGCCGGCCGGCUCUCUCGGGGGCUGCACAGGUGUUCCCCUUAGAUGUUCCCCUUAGAUGUUCCUCUUAGAUGUUCCUGGUGCAUGCCGUCUCUCUCCUCCUUUAUAGUCCUCUUCCACCAAUCCCAACUCGGCUGCCCACACGCCGAGCACGCUGCUCUCCUCCAAUCAGGAGCAGG
Molecule: non-coding RNA, 7027 nt
Organism: Oryctolagus cuniculus (rabbit)
Lineage: Eukaryota; Metazoa; Chordata; Mammalia; Lagomorpha; Leporidae
Source: RefSeq, a predicted model, not a curated record